This 31-nucleotide non-coding RNA is filed under the name Macaca fascicularis (crab-eating macaque). The record is from RNAcentral. RNAcentral also lists the same sequence under 1 other name. Lineage: Eukaryota; Metazoa; Chordata; Mammalia; Primates; Cercopithecidae.
UGCCGACAUAUCCUUAAAAGACUGGAUAGAU